AUUGUGGUUCUGAUUUGUAUUUUCCUGAUGAUUAGUUAUGUUGAGCACUUUUCCAUGUACCCGUCGACCAUUUGUAUAUCUUCUUUGGAAAAAUGUUCAGAUUAUCU
Lynx canadensis (Canada lynx) is the source of this 107-nucleotide long non-coding RNA. RefSeq lists it as uncharacterized. Lineage: Eukaryota; Metazoa; Chordata; Mammalia; Carnivora; Felidae. The transcript has 3 exons. The record is from RefSeq and is a predicted model, not a curated record.